RNAcentral lists this unclassified non-coding RNA (230 nucleotides) under plant metagenome. RNAcentral's name for it is "partial contains small subunit ribosomal RNA, internal transcribed spacer 1, and 5.8S ribosomal RNA". The record is from RNAcentral.
UCUCCGUAGGUGAACCUGCGGAGGGAUCAUUACAGAGUUCAUGCCCUCCGGGUAGAUCUCCCACCCAUUGCUAUAACUACUCUCGUUGCAUUGGCGGGCCGCUGGGCCCUGCCCGGCCGCCGGCCCCGGCUGGCGCGUGCCCGCCAGAGACCUCACAAACUCUGAAUGUUAGUGUCGUCCGAGUAACUAUACAAUCGUUAAAACUUUCAACAACGGAUCUCUUGGUUCUG